UACGGAGGGGCUAGCGUUAUCCGGAAUUACUGGGCGUAAAGGGUGCGUAGGUGGUUUCUUAAGUCAGAGGUGAAAGGCUACGGCUCAACCGUAGUAAGCCUUUGAAACUGGGAAACUUGAGUGCAGGAGAGGAGAGUGGAAUUCCUAGUGUAGCGGUGAAAUGCGUAGAUAUUAGGAGGAACACCAGUUGCGAAGGCGGCUCUCUGGACUGUAACUGACACUGAGGCACGAAAGCGUGGGGAGCAAACAGGAUUAGAUACCCCUGUAGUCCCUGAG
RNAcentral lists this ribosomal RNA (276 nucleotides) under uncultured prokaryote. Its description in RNAcentral is "partial 16S ribosomal RNA". It matches the Rfam family "Bacterial small subunit ribosomal RNA", at positions 524 to 801 of the family's 1533-position model. The record is from RNAcentral.